This 764-nucleotide ribosomal RNA is filed under the name uncultured bacterium. RNAcentral describes it as "bacterial SSU rRNA". It matches the Rfam family "Bacterial small subunit ribosomal RNA", at positions 8 to 791 of the family's 1533-position model. The record is from RNAcentral.
AGAGUUUGAUCAUGGCUCAGGAUGAACGUUGGCGGUGCGCCUAAUACAUGCAAGUCGAACGGAGACUGUAGCAAUACUGUCUUAGUGGCGAACGGGUGAGUAACGCGUUGGUGAUCUGCCUCGAAGUGUGGAAUAACGUUCCGAAAGGAGCACUAAUACCGCAUGGUCUUCUGGUUUUUAGAACGCCAGAUGUAAAGGAUUUAUUCGCUUCGAGAGGAGCCUGCGUCCCAUCAGCUAGUUGGUAAGGUAAUGGCUUACCAAGGCGAUGACGGGUAGGGGACCUGAGAGGGUGGCCCCCCACAAUGGAACUGAAACACGGUCCAUACACCUACGGGUGGCAGCAGUAGGGAAUAUUAGUAAUGGGCGAAAGCCCGAACUAGCGACACCGCGUGUGCGAAGAAGGCCUUCGGGUUGUAAAGCACUUUUAGAGAGGAUGAGGAAGGACGGUACUCUCUGAAUAAGUCUCGGCUAACUACGUGCCAGCAGCCGCGGUAACACGUAGGAGGCAAACGUUAUCCGGAUUUACUGGGCGUAACGCGCGUGUAGGUGGUUCUGUAAGUAGGGCGUGAAAGCUCCCGGCUCAACUGGGAGAGGCCGUUCUAAACUGCAGAGCUAGAGGAUGGUAGAGGGAGGUGGAAUUCCGGGUGUAGCGGUGGAAUGCGCAGAUAUCCGGAGGAAACACCAGUGGCGAAGGCGACCUCCUGGGCCACUCCUGACACUCAGACGCGAAAGCUAGGGUAGCAAACGGGAUUAGAGACCCCGGU